CCUACGGGAGGCAGCAGUGGGGAAUUUUCCGCAAUGGGCGAAAGCCUGACGGAGCAAUACCGCGUGAGGGAGGAAGGCUCUUGGGUUGUAAACCUCUUUUCUCAGGGAAGAUAAUGACGGUACCUGAGGAAUAAGCAUCGGCUAACUCCGUGCCAGCAGCCGCGGUAAUACGGAGGAUGCAAGCGUUAUCCGGAAUGAUUGGGCGUAAAGCGUCCGCAGGUGGUUUUGAAAGUCUGCUGUUAAAGCGUGCGGCUUAACCGCAUAAGGGCAGUGGAAACUAUGAGACUAGAGUGCGUUAGGGGCAGAGGGAAUUCCCAGUGUAGCGGUGAAAUGCGUAGAGAUUGGGAAGAACACCGGUGGCGAAGGCGCUCUGCUAUACCGUAACUGACACUGAGGGACGAAAGCUAGGGGAGCGAAUGGGAUUAGAUACCCCAGUAGUCCUAGCCGUAAACGAUGGAUACUAGUCGUUGUCUGUAUCGACCCGGACGAGUGCGUACGCUACGACGUUAGUAUCCGUCCGUCGGGUGGUACGCGAGGCGACGUAGUAGAAACGUACGAAAGGAAGUUAGACGGUCGUGUAGACGUUGCCGAACGGACGACGACGAGGGGAGGAGG
This 615-nucleotide ribosomal RNA is filed under the name uncultured bacterium. Its description in RNAcentral is "bacterial SSU rRNA". The stretch from base 1 to 518 matches the Rfam family "Bacterial small subunit ribosomal RNA", at positions 338 to 873 of the family's 1533-position model. The record is from RNAcentral.